GAUGAACGCUGGCGGCGUGCCUAAUACAUGCAAGUCGAGCGAACAGACGAGGAGCUUGCUCCUCUGACGUUAGCGGCGGACGGGUGAGUAACACGUGGAUAACCUACCUAUAAGACUGGGAUAACUUCGGGAAACCGGAGCUAAUACCGGAUAAUAUAUUGAACCGCAUGGUUCAAUAGUGAAAGACGGUUUUGCUGUCACUUAUAGAUGGAUCCGCGCCGCAUUAGCUAGUUGGUAAGGUAACGGCUUACCAAGGCAACGAUGCGUAGCCGACCUGAGAGGGUGAUCGGCCACACUGGAACUGAGACACGGUCCAGACUCCUACGGGAGGCAGCAGUAGGGAAUCUUCCGCAAUGGGCGAAAGCCUGACGGAGCAACGCCGCGUGAGUGAUGAAGGUCUUCGGAUCGUAAAACUCUGUUAUUACGGAAGAACAAAUGUGUAAGUAACUAUGCACGUCUUGACGGUACCUAAUCAGAAAGCCACGGCUAACUACGUG
RNAcentral lists this ribosomal RNA (497 nucleotides) under uncultured bacterium. RNAcentral describes it as "partial 16S ribosomal RNA". It matches the Rfam family "Bacterial small subunit ribosomal RNA", at positions 28 to 507 of the family's 1533-position model. The record is from RNAcentral.